RNAcentral lists this ribosomal RNA (451 nucleotides) under uncultured bacterium. Its description in RNAcentral is "partial 16S ribosomal RNA". It matches the Rfam family "Bacterial small subunit ribosomal RNA", at positions 354 to 796 of the family's 1533-position model. The record is from RNAcentral.
GUGGGGAAUAUUGGACAAUGGGGGGAACCCUGAUCCAGCCAUGCCGCGUGUGUGAAGAAGGCCUUUUGGUUGUAAAGCACUUUAAGCGAGGAGGAGGCUACCGAGAUUAAUACUCUUGGAUAGUGGACGUUACUCGCAGAAUAAGCACCGGCUAACUCUGUGCCAGCAGCCGCGGUAAUACAGAGGGUGCAAGCGUUAAUCGGAUUUACUGGGCGUAAAGCGCGCGUAGGUGGCCAAUUAAGUCAAAUGUGAAAUCCCCGAGCUUAACUUGGGAAUUGCAUUCGAUACUGGUUGGCUAGAGUAUGUGAGAGGAUGGUAGAAUUCCAGGUGUAGCGGUGAAAUGCGUAGAGAUCUGGAGGAAUACCGAUGGCGAAGGCAGCCAUCUGGCCUAAUACUGACACUGAGGUGCGAAAGCAUGGGGAGCAAACAGGAUUAGAAACCCCAGUAGUCC